CCUACGGGUGGCAGCAGUGGGGAAUAUUGGACAAUGGGCGAAAGCCUGAUCCAGCCAUGCCGCGUGUGUGAAGAAGGCCUUCGGGUUGUAAAGCACUUUCAGUGGGGAAGAAAGCCUUGGGGCUAAUACCCUCGAGGAAGGACAUCACCCACAGAAGAAGCACCGGCUAACUCCGUGCCAGCAGCCGCGGUAAUACGGAGGGUGCGAGCGUUAAUCGGAAUUACUGGGCGUAAAGCGCGCGUAGGCGGUCUGAUAAGCCGGUUGUGAAAGCCCCGGGCUCAACCUGGGAACGGCAUCCGGAACUGUCAAGCUAGAGUGCAGGAGAGGAAGGUAGAAUUCCCGGUGUAGCAGUGAAAUGCGUAGAGAUCGGGAGGAAUACCAGUGGCGAAGGCGGCCUUCUGGACUGACACUGACGCUGAGGUGCGAAAGCGUGGGUAGCAAACAGGAUUAGAUACCCUAGUAGUC
RNAcentral lists this ribosomal RNA (465 nucleotides) under Vreelandella stevensii. Its description in RNAcentral is "partial 16S ribosomal RNA". It matches the Rfam family "Bacterial small subunit ribosomal RNA", at positions 338 to 795 of the family's 1533-position model. Lineage: Bacteria; Pseudomonadati; Pseudomonadota; Gammaproteobacteria; Oceanospirillales; Halomonadaceae. The record is from RNAcentral.